RNAcentral lists this long non-coding RNA (557 nucleotides) under Setaria viridis. RNAcentral describes it as "long non-coding RNA (SVIR_LNC000192)". The record is from RNAcentral. Lineage: Eukaryota; Viridiplantae; Streptophyta; Magnoliopsida; Poales; Poaceae.
GAAUAUCAAGAUUUUGGAUUUUGGAGUGUGUUGUCUUUCAAAAAAUGUUGUUGAAUCUUCAAAAUGUUGCAACUCUGCUGUGCCUGAUCUUUCAAGGGUGGAGCUCCACCUCGCUCGACCUUGAGUCCUGGAGUCAGAGGUGCCCGACCCUUCGAGGGAGGGACUCCGCCUCGCCCGACCCCGGGUCCUGGGGUCGGAGGCGCCCGACCCUUCGAGGGUGGAACUCCGCCCCGCCCGACCCUAGGUCCCAGGGUUGGAGUAGUCAGAGCCUCCAUCAUGUAAGCUAAGCUUCGCGUGUAGUAGUCCCGAGAGUCGAGUAGUCGUAAUGCUGUUUGAGUACUCGUCUCCUGAAGGACACGGGUGUACUGUACUCAGCUGUCCUUUGUUAAUGUACGGGUGUACUGUUGUCUUUUGUCCGUUGCAGAGGCAUGGGUGUAUUGUGCUCCUUUGUCUGUUGCAACAUGAGUGCAGGCACAUGGGCAGAGUCAGAAUUUGUCAGACCUAUUGAUCACGGGUGCGCAGUAACUCUUUGGCCGGUGGUAGGUGUAGCUUUCGGC